RNAcentral lists this transfer RNA (85 nucleotides) under Candidatus Kinetoplastidibacterium kentomonadis. Its description in RNAcentral is "Candidatus Kinetoplastibacterium sorsogonicusi tRNA-Leu". It matches the Rfam family "tRNA". From Rfam's summary of the family: Transfer RNA (tRNA) molecules are approximately 80 nucleotides in length. Their secondary structure includes four short double-helical elements and three loops (D, anti-codon, and T loops). Further hydrogen bonds mediate the characteristic L-shaped molecular structure. tRNAs have two regions of fundamental functional importance: the anti-codon, which is responsible for specific mRNA codon recognition, and the 3' end, to which the tRNAs corresponding amino acid is attached (by aminoacyl-tRNA synthetases). tRNAs cope with the degeneracy of the genetic code in two manners: having more than one tRNA (with a specific anti-codon) for a particular amino acid; and 'wobble' base-pairing, i.e. permitting non-standard base-pairing at the 3rd anti-codon position. The record is from RNAcentral. Lineage: Bacteria; Pseudomonadati; Pseudomonadota; Betaproteobacteria.
GCGAAGGUGGCGAAAUUGGUAGACGCACCAGGUUUAGGUCCUGACGCUUAAAUGCAUGUGGGUUCGAAUCCCAUCCUUCGCACCA